RNAcentral lists this unclassified non-coding RNA (262 nucleotides) under plant metagenome. RNAcentral's name for it is "partial contains small subunit ribosomal RNA, internal transcribed spacer 1, and 5.8S ribosomal RNA". The record is from RNAcentral.
UCUCCGUUGGUGAACCAGCGGAGGGAUCAUUACCGAGUUUACAACUCCCAAACCCCUAUGUGAACGUUACCAAACUGUUGCCUCGGCGGGAAAUUCAUGCCCCGGGCGCGUCGCAGCCCCGGACCAAGGCGUCCGCCGGAGGACCAACCAAAACUCUUUUGUAUGUCCCUCGCGGACUUUUAUAAUUCUGAACCAUCUCGGCGCCCCUAGCGGGCGUUUCGAAAAUGAAUCAAAACUUUCAACAACGGAUCUCUUGGUUCUG